AACACGUGAGUAACCUGCCCUUGACUCUGGGAUAAGCCUGGGAAACUGGGUCUAAUACCGGAUAUGACCGUCUGACGCAUGUCAUGGUGGUGGAAAGCUUUUGUGGUUUUGGAUGGACUCGCGGCCUAUCAGCUUGUUGGUGGGGUAAUGGCCUACCAAGGCGACGACGGGUAGCCGGCCUGAGAGGGUGACCGGCCACACUGGGACUGAGACACGGCCCAGACUCCUACGGGAGGCAGCAGUGGGGAAUAUUGCACAAUGGGCGGAAGCCUGAUGCAGCGACGCCGCGUGAGGGAUGACGGCCUUCGGGUUGUAAACCUCUUUCAGUAGGGAAGAAGCGAAAGUGACGGUACCUGCAGAAGAAGCGCCGGCUAACUACGUGCCAGCAGCCGCGGUAAUACGUAGGGCGCAAGCGUUAUCCGGAAUUAUUGGGCGUAAAGAGCUCGUAGGCGGUUUGUCGCGUCUGCUGUGAAAGACCGGGGCUCAACUCCGGUUCUGCAGUGGGUACGGGCAGACUAGAGUGCAGUAGGGGAGACUGGAAUUCCUGGUGUAGCGGUGAAAUGCGCAGAUAUCAGGAGGAACACCGAUGGCGAAGGCAGGUCUCUGGGCUGUAACUGACGCUGAGGAGCGAAAGCAUGGGGAGCGAACAGGAUUAGAUACCCUGGUAGUCCAUGCCGUAAACGUUGGGCACUAGGUG
Molecule: ribosomal RNA, 697 nt
Filed under: Arthrobacter sp. A23MCF
Lineage: Bacteria; Bacillati; Actinomycetota; Actinomycetes; Micrococcales; Micrococcaceae
Description: bacterial SSU rRNA
Rfam family: Bacterial small subunit ribosomal RNA
Source: RNAcentral